GAUGAAGAACGUAGCGAAAUGCGAUAAGUAAUGUGAAUUGCAGAAUUCAGUGAAUCAUCGAAUCUUUGAACGCACAUUGCGCCCGCCAGUAUUCUGGCGGGCAUGCCUGUUCGAGCGUCAUUUCAACCAUCAAGCCCCCGGCUUGUGUUGGGGACCUGCGGCUCCCGCAGGCCCUGAAAAGCAGUGGCGGGCUCGCUGUCACACCGAGCGUAGUAGCAUACAUCUCGCUCUGGGCGUGCUGCGGGUUCCGGCCGUUAAACCACCUUCAUAACCCAAGGUUGACCUCGGAUCAGGUAGGAAGACCCGCUGAACUUAAGCAUAUCAAUAAGCGGAGGA
This 336-nucleotide unclassified non-coding RNA is filed under the name soil metagenome. Its description in RNAcentral is "partial contains 5.8S ribosomal RNA, internal transcribed spacer 2, and large subunit ribosomal RNA". The stretch from base 1 to 120 matches the Rfam family "5.8S ribosomal RNA", at positions 35 to 154 of the family's 154-position model. The record is from RNAcentral.